UUUCUACUGUAUAUAAUAUUAUCCAUUUCAGUUUUACUUCCUCUUAUUUUUUCUUUUUCUUUUUCUUUUCCUUUUUUUUUUUUUUUUGAUUUGUUUUUAUUUUUCUCUCUAUUCCCUCGUAGGCGCGAGUGGUAAUAUGGAAGUGGGGGGUCACGAUCAUAUAUCAGGAUAUAUCUCAAGUAUAAUUCUGACGAUGCCAGAUGCGAAGGAGACGACGAUCGACCAGCCGAUGCAGGGUCAAACUAUAUGCGAUCUGAUGCAGCCUCGAGCUCGCUCGAAAUCAAAUAUAGUAAACGUCACACCGGCCGGAUUUCCUCCAUAAUAAACUUGGGUGAAAAUACAAAUCCAAAAGAAGACAAAAAAGAUAGGGAAAGAAAAGUACGCGCACUGUACAGGAAUCCUUGGUGGCAGCUGCCGUGUGAUCUCGUCGACUUAUGUACAUUUCAU
This 447-nucleotide unclassified non-coding RNA is filed under the name Athalia rosae (coleseed sawfly). RNAcentral's name for it is "misc RNA ENSAEAG00005008069.1". The record is from RNAcentral. Lineage: Eukaryota; Metazoa; Arthropoda; Insecta; Hymenoptera; Athaliidae.